UACGGGGGGAGCAAGCGUUGUUCGGAUUUACUGGGCGUAAAGGGCGCGUAGGCGGUCGUGACAAGUCACUUGUGAAAUCUCCGGGCUUAACUCGGAACGGUCAAGUGAUACUGUCGGACUAGAGUACAGAAGGGGCAACUGGAAUUCUCGGUGUAGCGGUGAAAUGCGUAGAUAUCGAGAGGAACACGUGCGGCGAAGGCGGGUUGCUGGGCUGAGACUGACGCUGAGGCGCGAAAGCCAGGGGAGCGAACGGG
Molecule: ribosomal RNA, 254 nt
Filed under: uncultured bacterium
Lineage: Bacteria
Description: partial 16S ribosomal RNA
Rfam family: Bacterial small subunit ribosomal RNA
Source: RNAcentral